Long non-coding RNA from Pipra filicauda (Wire-tailed manakin), 422 nucleotides. RefSeq lists it as uncharacterized. The record is from RefSeq and is a predicted model, not a curated record. Lineage: Eukaryota; Metazoa; Chordata; Aves; Passeriformes; Pipridae. The transcript has 2 exons.
GGACCCUCCCUGCCCGCGGGGAGAGGGGACCCGCCACCCGGGGGGCUCCCCCAGGGAUGUCCCGGCUGAUGGAGCGGGGCGGGGGGGUGAGGAGAAGGGAACCUGAGCGAAGUGAUGCGGAGGGGGAAACAAACCGUGUGAAUGAAGCGAGGAAACACCCAGGAAGAGUUUGGGAGGGGUGGAAGGGGAAGUCAAAAUGAGUAACAUCUAAUGGAGUGACAAAGCAAAAUUUCCACAGAGUACAGCUGUGAGAAGCAUCAACACCAGUAACUUGAAGAGUUUUUUUCCUGCUCUGGCUAGUCAGUGAUUAUGAAAGAGUGACGAGAAGGCUGAUUUGCAUAAGAAAUAUCCUCAGGACAAUGCAGAGUUUUGUUUCACAAGUUUUUAGGUUCAAAAAGCCAAGUAAAGUUGUUUUCCAAUAA